AGGACGAACGCUGGCGGCGUGCUUAACACAUGCAAGUCGAGCGGAAAGGCCCUUCGGGGUACUCGAGCGGCGAACGGGUGAGUAACACGUGAGUAAUCUGCCCCUAGCUCUGGGAUAGCUCCGGGAAACCGGGAUUAAUACCGGAUAUGACCACUUUAGACAUCUGCUGUGGUGGAAAGAAUUUCGGCUAGGGAUGAGCUCGCGGCCUAUCAGCUUGUUGGUGGGGUAACGGCCUACCAAGGCGACGACGGGUAGCCGGCCUGAGAGGGCGACCGGCCACACUGGGACUGAGACACGGCCCAGACUCCUACGGGAGGCAGCAGUGGGGAAUAUUGCGCAAUGGGCGAAAGCCUGACGCAGCGACGCCGCGUGGGGGAUGAAGGCCUUCGGGUUGUAACCCCUUUCAGCAGGACGAAGCGAAAGUGACGGUACCUGCAGAAGAAGCGCCGGCUAACUACGUGCCAGCAGCCGC
RNAcentral lists this ribosomal RNA (472 nucleotides) under uncultured bacterium. Its description in RNAcentral is "SSU rRNA". It matches the Rfam family "Bacterial small subunit ribosomal RNA", at positions 26 to 518 of the family's 1533-position model. The record is from RNAcentral.